UACGUAGGUGGCAAGCGUUGUCCGGAAUUAUUGGGCGUAAAGCGCGCGCAGGCGGUCCUUUAAGUCUGAUGUGAAAGCCCACGGCUUAACCGUGGAGGGUCAUUGGAAACUGGAGGACUUGAGUGCAGAAGAGGAGAGUGGAAUUCCUGGUGUAGCGGUGAAAUGCGCAGAUAUCAGGAAGAACACCCGUGGCGAAGGCGGCUCUCUGGGACGGUACUGACGCUGAGACGCGAAAGCGUGGGGAGCGAACAGG
RNAcentral lists this ribosomal RNA (253 nucleotides) under uncultured bacterium. RNAcentral describes it as "partial 16S ribosomal RNA". It matches the Rfam family "Bacterial small subunit ribosomal RNA", at positions 524 to 776 of the family's 1533-position model. The record is from RNAcentral.